GUGCAUCCACUGAUAGACCUUGAACAAUUGGCUGUUGUUCUUUUGGUUUGCACUAGGAUGCGAGAGAAGAAAAUCCCUGCGCUUUCUGUCUGUCUUUGUGGCAGCCCAGAUUGAAUAGGGGAAUACAUCU
RNAcentral lists this small nucleolar RNA (130 nucleotides) under Zalophus californianus (California sea lion). RNAcentral's name for it is "Small nucleolar RNA SNORA31 (ENSZCAG00015010439.1)". It matches the Rfam family "Small nucleolar RNA SNORA31". From Rfam's summary of the family: ACA31 (SNORA31) belongs to the H/ACA class of snoRNAs which are thought to guide the sites of modification of uridines to pseudouridines. ACA31 is predicted to guide the pseudouridylation of U3713 in 28S rRNA and U218 in 18S rRNA. This family includes the mouse homologue snoMBI-161. RNAcentral also lists the same sequence under 3 other names. Lineage: Eukaryota; Metazoa; Chordata; Mammalia; Carnivora; Otariidae. The record is from RNAcentral.